GACGAACGCUGGCGGCGUGCUUAACACAUGCAAGUCGAACGGAAAGGCCCUGCUUUUGUGGGGUGCUCGAGUGGCGAACGGGUGAGUAACACGUGAGUAACCUGCCCUUGACUUUGGGAUAACUUCAGGAAACUGGGGCUAAUACCGGAUAGGAGCCCCUGCUGCAUGGUGGGGGUUGGAAAGUCUCGGCGGUUGGGGAUGGACUCGCGGCUUAUCAGCUUGUUGGUGGGGUAGUGGCUUACCAAGGCUUUGACGGGUAGCCGGCCUGGGAGGGUGACCGGCCACAUUGGGACUGAGAUACGGCCCAGACUCCUACGGGAGGCAGCAGGGGGGAAUAUUGCACAAUGGGCGGAAGCCUGAUGAAGCAACGCCGCGGGCGGGAUGACGGCCUUCGGGUUGUAAACCGCUUUCGCCUGUGACGAAGCGUGAGUGACGGUAAUGGGUAAAGAAGCACCGGCUAACUACGUG
RNAcentral lists this ribosomal RNA (468 nucleotides) under uncultured bacterium. RNAcentral's name for it is "partial 16S ribosomal RNA". It matches the Rfam family "Bacterial small subunit ribosomal RNA", at positions 28 to 507 of the family's 1533-position model. The record is from RNAcentral.